AUCCCACCUGGGGAGUACGCCGGCAACGGUGAAACUCAAAGGAAUUGACGGGGCCCGCACAAGCGGAGGAACAUGUGGUUUAAUUCGAUGAUACGCGAGGAACCUUACCCGGGCUUGAACUGCAGCUGAACGAUUCAGAGAUGAUGAGGCCCUUCGGGGCAGCUGUGGAGGUGCUGCAUGGUUGUCGUCAGCUCGUGCCGUGAGGUGUCGGCUUAAGUGCCAUAACGAGCGCAACCCUUGCGGUCAGUUGCCAUCAGGUUAUGCUGGGCACUCUGGCCGGACUGCCACCGUAAGGUGUGAGGAAGGUGGGGAUGACGUCAAAUCAGCACGGCCCUUACGUCCGGGGCUACACACGUGUUACAAUGGGGCAUACAGAGAGCCGGUCGUUCGCAAGUGCGAUCCAAUCCUUAAAGUGCCUCGUAGUUCGGAUUGGGGUCUGCAACCCGACCCCAUGAAGCUGGAUUCGCUAGUAAUCGCGCAUCAGCCAUGGCGCGGUGAAUACGUUCCCGGGCCUUGUACACACCGCCCGUCAAGCCAUGAAAGCCGGGGGCGCCUGAAGUCCGUGACCGCAAGGAUCGGCCUAGGGCGAAACCGGUGAUUGGGGCU
This 606-nucleotide ribosomal RNA is filed under the name uncultured rumen bacterium. Its description in RNAcentral is "bacterial SSU rRNA". It matches the Rfam family "Bacterial small subunit ribosomal RNA", at positions 866 to 1482 of the family's 1533-position model. The record is from RNAcentral.